UCCCUGGAACGGGACGCCUUAAAGGGUGAGAGCCCCUUACGGUUGGACACCGAGCCUCUGUAAAGCUCCUUCGACAAGUCGAGUAGCUUGGGAAUGCUGCUCUAAAUGGGAGGUNAAUUUCUUCUAAAGCUAAAUAUUGGCCAGAGACCGAUAGCGCACAAGUACAGUGAUCGAAAGAUGAAAAGCACUUUGAAAAGAGGGAUAAACAGCACGUGAAAUUGUUGAAAGGGAAGCGUUUGCGACCGGACCUUUUCCUAGCGGAUCAUCCGGUGUUCUCACCGGUGCACUUCGCUAGGUUUAGGCCAGCAUCGGUUUCUGUAGGGGGAUAAAAGCUCUGGGAACNUAGCUCCUCCGGGAGUGUUAUAGCCCUCUGCAUAAUACCCUUACGGGGACCGAGGACCGCGCUUCNGCAAGGAUGCUGGCGAAAUGGUCGUCAACGACCCUCCNUGAAACACUGACCAAGGAGACCAACAUUUGUGCGA
This 482-nucleotide ribosomal RNA is filed under the name fungal endophyte sp. DM208. RNAcentral describes it as "eukaryotic LSU rRNA". It matches the Rfam family "Eukaryotic large subunit ribosomal RNA", at positions 187 to 689 of the family's 3401-position model. Lineage: Eukaryota; Fungi. The record is from RNAcentral.